AAACCAGCACCUCAAGUGGUCAGGAUGAUUAUUGGGCCUAAAGCAUCCGUAGCCGGCUCUGUAAGUUUUCGGUUAAAUCUGUACGCUUAACGUACAGGCUGCCGGAAAUACUGCAGAGCUAGGGAGUGGGAGAGGUAGACGGUACUCGAUAGGAAGGGGUAAAAUCCUUUGAUCUAUUGAUGACCACCUGUGGCGAAGGCGGUCUACCAGAACACGUUCGACGGUGAGGGAUGAAAGCUGGGGGAGCAAACCGGAUUAGAUACCCGAGUAGUCC
This 274-nucleotide ribosomal RNA is filed under the name uncultured bacterium. Its description in RNAcentral is "partial 16S ribosomal RNA". It matches the Rfam family "Archaeal small subunit ribosomal RNA", at positions 473 to 747 of the family's 1478-position model. The record is from RNAcentral.